RNAcentral lists this unclassified non-coding RNA (240 nucleotides) under soil metagenome. RNAcentral's name for it is "partial contains 5.8S ribosomal RNA, internal transcribed spacer 2, and large subunit ribosomal RNA". The record is from RNAcentral.
AAGACUAUAGACCUGCGGAGUACCUGCGGAGGGAUCAUUAGAAAUGCUAUUGUUUUUUUCUCUUCUCGAGGAAAACACAUCAUUUCCUGACUUUUUCGCUGCCAUGAUGCUUUUUCCUUUUUCUUUUCUCAAAGAAAAGGGGGGGGCCGCCUGGCGCGUUAAGUCGGAUUCUUUUUUUCAGCAGAAUUUUUUAGCUUUCUUUUGAGGGCUAAUCUUUUGUUGGAAAUUUCAAUCUACACC